UUGUAGUGUAUUGGACUACCAUGGCGGUCACGGGUAACGGGGAAUUAGGGUUCGAUUCCGGAGAGGGAGCCUGAGAAAUGGCUACCACUUCUAAGGAAGGCAGCAGGCGCGUAAAUUACCCAAUCCUGAUUCAGGGAGGUAGUGACAAGAAAUAACAACUCGGGUCCCUCUGGGACUGCGAGAUUGCAAUGAGAACAAUUUAAACCACUUAUCCAGGAACAAUUGGAGGGCAAGUCUGGUGCCAGCAGCCGCGGUAAUUCCAGCUCCAAUAGCGUAUAUUAAAGUUGUUGCAGUUAAAAAGCUCGUAGUUGAAUUUCUGGCCAAUUCUACACUGUGCAGCUUGCCGGUGCCGAGUUUGGUCAUCCGUAAGGGAAGCUAGUUCGGCCUUCACUGGUCGGCUAGGGGAACUUACAAUUUACUGUGAAAAAAUUAGAGUGUUUCAGGCAGGCAAUCGCUUGGAUACUCCAGCAUGGAAUAAUGGAAUAGGACUUUGGUCUAUUUAUUGGUUUGAGAUCAAAGUAAUGAUUAAUAGGGACAGUUGGGGGCAUUCGUAUUUAAUUGUCAGAGGUGAAAUUCUUGGAUUUAUUAAAGACGGACUUAUGCGAAAGCAUUUGCCAAGGAUGUUUUC
This 628-nucleotide ribosomal RNA is filed under the name uncultured ciliate. RNAcentral's name for it is "SSU rRNA". It matches the Rfam family "Eukaryotic small subunit ribosomal RNA", at positions 326 to 971 of the family's 1831-position model. The record is from RNAcentral. Lineage: Eukaryota; Ciliophora.